Molecule: long non-coding RNA, 343 nt
Filed under: Pan troglodytes (chimpanzee)
Lineage: Eukaryota; Metazoa; Chordata; Mammalia; Primates; Hominidae
Description: long non-coding RNA NONPTRT003651
Source: RNAcentral
GUCGGACGGAAGCAGAACGUGAGCGUCUUCACUUCUGCGGGGACCUCGUUUGCCCCCACCUGAUGCAACCCAGAAAAUGGACUGCGAGUGUCUUGGGGCGGAGAAUGUGUCUUGCUACGUGUAAAGCACCUAGAACCCUGCCAGAUUCAGGGGACACAGCAUCCUGCCGUUUUCCUGCCGUCCCCCGCCCGCCACACAGUAGGCGCUCCAGUGGCUCUGGGCAUCUACCAGGCAGGCCGCGCUGUCCUGCCCUGCCGGGGCUGGAGUAGAGCAACCUUCCGGGGCCACCCACAUCUGGGUACCUUUUCCCCACUUUUUCCACCCCAGCCGCGCACAGUCACCA